CACGUAGGGUGCGAGCGUUGUCCGGAAUUAUUGGGCGUAAAGAGCUCGUAGGCGGUGUGUCGCGUCGGCCGUGAAAACCUGCAGCUUAACUGUGGGCUUGCGGUCGAUACGGGCAUCACUGGAGUUCGGCAGGGGAGACUGGAAUUCCUGGUGUAGCGGUGAAAUGCGCAGAUAUCAGGAGGAACACCGGUGGCGAAAGCGGCUCUCUGGAACGGUACUGACGCUGAGACGCGAAAGCGUGGGGAGCGAACAGG
Molecule: ribosomal RNA, 254 nt
Filed under: uncultured bacterium
Lineage: Bacteria
Description: partial 16S ribosomal RNA
Rfam family: Bacterial small subunit ribosomal RNA
Source: RNAcentral